RNAcentral lists this ribosomal RNA (305 nucleotides) under uncultured bacterium. Its description in RNAcentral is "bacterial SSU rRNA". It matches the Rfam family "Bacterial small subunit ribosomal RNA", at positions 333 to 630 of the family's 1533-position model. The record is from RNAcentral.
AACCGCCUACGGGACGCAGCAGUAGGGAAUCUUCCACAAUGGGCGAAAGCCUGAUGGAGCAACGCCGCGUGGGUGAAGAAGGUCUUCGGAUCGUAAAACCCUGUUGUUAGAGAAGAAAAUGCGUGAGAGUAACUGUUCACGUUUCGACGGUAUCUAACCAGAAAGCCACGGCUAACUACGUGCCAGCAGCCGCGGUAAUACGUAGGUGGCAAGCGUUAUCCGGAUUCAUUGGGCGUAAAGGGAACGCAGGCGGUCUUUUAAGUCUGAUGUGAAAGCCUUAGGCUUAACCGGAGUAGUGCAUUGGA